This 478-nucleotide ribosomal RNA is filed under the name uncultured bacterium. Its description in RNAcentral is "bacterial SSU rRNA". It matches the Rfam family "Bacterial small subunit ribosomal RNA", at positions 28 to 469 of the family's 1533-position model. The record is from RNAcentral.
GACGAACGCUGGCGGCGUGCCUAAUACAUGCAAGUCGAACGCACUCUCGUUUAGAUUGAAGGAGCUUGCUCCUGAUUGAUAAACAUUUGAGUGAGUGGCGGACGGGUGAGUAACACGUGGGUAACCUGCCCUAAAGUGGGGGAUAACAUUUGGAAACAGAUGCUAAUACCGCAUAAAACCUAAACACCGCAUGGUGUAGGGUUGAAAGAUGGUUUCGGCUAUCACUUUAGGAUGGACCCGCGGUGCAUUAGUUAGUUGGUGAGGUAAAGGCUCACCAAGACCGUGAUGCAUAGCCGACCUGAGAGGGUAAUCGGCCACACUGGGACUGAGACACGGCCCAGACUCCUACGGGAGGCAGCAGUAGGGAAUCUUCCACAAUGGACGAAAGUCAGAUGGAGCAACGCCGCGUGAGUGAAGAAGGUUUUCGGAUCGUAAAACUCUGUUGUUGGAGAAGAAUGUAUCUGAUAGUAACUGAUCA